This is a long non-coding RNA of Dreissena polymorpha, 136 nucleotides long. RefSeq lists it as uncharacterized. The transcript has 3 exons. NCBI's taxonomy places the organism in Eukaryota, Metazoa, Mollusca, Bivalvia, Myida, Dreissenidae. The record is from RefSeq and is a predicted model, not a curated record.
ACUCAGCAAUGAUGUAGGGUGAUAUGAAUGUUUCAUGAUGAACUCAUCUAUGAGGUGUUCCAUGAUGAACCCAGCAAUUGGGUAGGGUGAUAUGGGUGUUCAUUAUGAACCCAGCAAUGAUGUAGGGUGAUAUGGG